This is a non-coding RNA of Asterophora parasitica, 80 nucleotides long. Lineage: Eukaryota; Fungi; Basidiomycota; Agaricomycetes; Agaricales; Lyophyllaceae. The record is from the annotation of a GenBank genome assembly.
GGCGCUCUAGUGUAGUGGUCAUCACACGGGAUUUUGAGACGCGACUUCCCGUAACCCAGGUUCGAGCCCUGGGAGUGCCU